UACGGAGGGGGCUAGCGUUGUUCGGAAUUACUGGGCGUAAAGCGCGUGUAGGCGGGGCUUUAAGUCAGGGGUGAAAUGCCAAGGCUCAACCUUGGAACUGCCUUUGAUACUGGAGACCUUGAGUCCGGGAGAGGUGAGUGGAAUUGCGAGUGUAGAGGUGAAAUUCGUAGAUAUUCGCAAGAACACCAGUGGCGAAGGCGGCUCACUGGCCCGGAACUGACGCUGAGACGCGAAAGCGUGGGGAGCAAACAGG
RNAcentral lists this ribosomal RNA (253 nucleotides) under uncultured bacterium. RNAcentral describes it as "partial 16S ribosomal RNA". It matches the Rfam family "Bacterial small subunit ribosomal RNA", at positions 524 to 776 of the family's 1533-position model. The record is from RNAcentral.